AAACGUCAUCCGCCUGGGGAGUACGGUCGCAAGAUUAAAACUCAAAGGAAUUGACGGGGACCCGCACAAGCGGUGGAUGAUGUGGAUUAAUUCGAUGCAACGCGAAAAACCUUACCUACCCUUGACAUGUACCGAAGCCCGCUGAGAGGUGGGUGUGCCCGAAAGGGAGCGGUAACACAGGUGCUGCAUGGCUGUCGUCAGCUCGUGUCGUGAGAUGUUGGGUUAAGUCCCGCAACGAGCGCAACCCUUGUCAUUAGUUGCUACAUUUAAGUUGGGCACUCUAAUGAGACUGCCGGUGACAAACCGGAGGAAGGUGGGGAUGACGUCGAAUACGUAAC
RNAcentral lists this unclassified non-coding RNA (338 nucleotides) under uncultured Gammaproteobacteria bacterium. RNAcentral describes it as "contains 16S-23S intergenic spacer region". It matches the Rfam family "Bacterial small subunit ribosomal RNA", at positions 860 to 1199 of the family's 1533-position model. The record is from RNAcentral. Lineage: Bacteria; Pseudomonadati; Pseudomonadota; Gammaproteobacteria.